UGGGGAAUUUUGGACAAUGGGCGCAAGCCUGAUCCAGCCAUGCCGCGUGAGUGAAGAAGGCCUUCGGGUUGUAAAGCUCUUUCGGCUGGGACGAAAAGGUUCGUGCUAACACCACGGAUCAAUGACGGUACCAGCAGAAGAAGCACCGGCUAACUACGUGCCAGCAGCCGCGGUAAUACGUAGGGUGCAGGCGUUAAUCGGAAUUACUGGGCGUAAAGCGUGCGCAGGCGGUUUGCUAAGACAGGUGUGAAAUCCCCGGGCUUAACCUGGGAACUGCGCUUGUAACUGGCAAGCUUGAGUGUGGCAGAGGGGGGUGGAAUUCCACGUGUAGCAGUGAAAUGCGUAGAGAUGUGGAGGAACACCGAUGGCGAAGGCAGCCCCCUGGGCUAACACUGACUCUCAUGCACGAAAGCGUGGGGAGCAAAC
Molecule: ribosomal RNA, 426 nt
Filed under: uncultured bacterium
Lineage: Bacteria
Description: bacterial SSU rRNA
Rfam family: Bacterial small subunit ribosomal RNA
Source: RNAcentral